UCGGUGAGGAUGAUCGAAGCUAGGGCUCAGAUGAGAUGAGAGUGAGAGAAAGAAAGGGAUGUGAUGCGAUCAUGCGAAGAUGUAGCCUUCGCGGUUUUGGGAUAUUUAUAUUGGGGAAAGGAAAUGCUAAUGCUAAAGGUAAUCUCCAUAUUCCCCAAAUAAAUAUUUUAGGGCUUUUAUGGGCCUAAUUGGGCUUUUUGUUGACAAUGGAGGGGGAGAAAUUAGAUCUUAAACAUAAUUCAAAUACUAUGAAGAGAAGUUUUGUUUACAUUUAUUGAUGUAUUGAAUAUCAAUGACUAACUUGUAUUUUCAUGGAAAAUAUAUCUAAAUAUUAUUUGCACAUUUAAUGCUUACCAAAUUUAAAGUUCAAAAUUUAAAAACUAUUUUUAUAGUUUGAAAUGUAGGGUAUGCGAGUUUAAAUUUGCAUUUAUCUUUCCAGAUUUUUCCACAACUCUUUUACCUUUUGUAUUAGUCCAAUUUCUAAAUCUAAAUUUUUGUUGCCUUUAUUCAAAGAUUGAUGGUAUCAAUUGCAUCGAUGAGAUAUAUAGUAUGAAAUGACAUAUUCGCAUCAUUAAAUGAUGAUAGUACUCAUUGUGAUGAGCGAUUAUAGAUGACUUUGAUUUAACUUUUUAAAUGUCUAAUUUCGAAAAUAAAUCAUUUGAGAAAAAAAACGAUUAAAACAUCUUGAAAAUGUAUCUUACAACAAUUUCUAAUCAAAAGAUUUUGAAUAAAAAUUAUUUUUCUCUAGUCAAUUCAAUUCAAACACACUCUAGGACAAUGUGUGUGAUGAAAGAAUUGUAUUCCCAAACUAUACCCUUUGUCUCCUUGAAUAGAAUGAAUUAUUGUGAGUUGAAGAUAGGUAGAAAAUUACAUGUAUAACUCAAAAUAUUAGAACAAAGAAACCAAACCAAAAGUUGGAAACAUCGCAAUAAUACUAAAUACUAAAUACUAGACAGCAAAAAGUCAGAUAGAUAAAACUGAAUAUAUUGAAAUGUUAAAAUGAAAUAGAGACAACAUGAUACAUUUAGCCAAAAACUAAAUAUUAAAUACAUAUUUUCCAUGGAAAAAUAUAAAAUGGAAAGUGAUUUGAUGAAUUAGGCUGACCUCUUGCAAAUGAAAUCAUAAGCAGCUUCCACAAGGCUCCUACGUGCAGUAUCAUCGUUGGAAGGCAACUUCAAGAGAGAUGCAACUUUUAAGAAAGCAGCAUGUUGAGUGGCAAAGGCAGAUUCUUGCAUUUCAGAA
RNAcentral lists this long non-coding RNA (1242 nucleotides) under Cucumis sativus (cucumber). RNAcentral's name for it is "long non-coding RNA (CSAT_LNC002148)". Lineage: Eukaryota; Viridiplantae; Streptophyta; Magnoliopsida; Cucurbitales; Cucurbitaceae. The record is from RNAcentral.